ACAAAAUUUAUAAAACUAAUCCGUUUUGUAAAGAAAUUCAAAGAUUGAAUUCUGCAAAAGGUUGAAUUCAUUGUAUUGUCCUGUAAUCCCACAGUUUAGAAAUGAAUUAUAAAAGGAUGUAUAUUCAACGUAAAAUUUAUUUACCAUAACAACUACAUGUUUCUUUUCUCUUGUUUUUUGUAUGACUAUUUUAUGUUUCAUAUAUAUAUAUAUAUAACAAGUUACUCCUGCAUACAACAAUAAUUAAAACAUAAGGUGGAGUUAAUCCUAGGCAAUGGCUUCUUAUGUCUAUCAAACUCGUUUUUUCUGGAUUUUGUGCUUUGCUUUAGUUUUGCUUUCGGGUUUCGCAACUUGUUUGGGUCCUGUGGGUCCUCCAGGACUAAAAUGCUCUGGGAAAUGCAUUGAUGGACCAACAUGCAAUAAAUCUUGCAUUGACCAAGGCAAUAAGAAUGGUGGGGUAUGUUUAGGUGCUACUCCUAAAACUAUGAUUUGUUGUUGUAGAAAAUCAAAAUUGAACUUCAUCAUUUAAGUUAAUGGAAGUAGUUUUUCUGUCUUUUGUUUUGAAACCAUCGUGUAGUACGAUAGAAUAAAAUUUGAAUUUAUAUA
Long non-coding RNA from Lathyrus oleraceus (garden pea), 606 nucleotides. RefSeq lists it as uncharacterized. The transcript is spliced from 2 exons. The record is from RefSeq and is a predicted model, not a curated record. NCBI's taxonomy places the organism in Eukaryota, Viridiplantae, Streptophyta, Magnoliopsida, Fabales, Fabaceae.